GUCCAACCAAGACGUCAUAGGUAUAUGUCUAAAGAGGUUUGGCUUAUAGCAAAUUAGGCUCUUUUGAAAUAUAAAAAGGUUUGGUAUCAUUUUUAGACUUAAAAUGUUUUUAAAUGAUUUUGCAAAAGAAAUAGAGGCCGCUCAAGUGGCUAAUCCUACUCAAGCAAUCAGCUCGCUCAAACGUUGUAAGUUCGCUCAAACGAUCAUGUCAAUCCUACCGAGAUUAGAAACAGAUUUUGGAUGAAUUUCACUCAAACUCCAUUUUGAAAACUUAAGAUACUGAAACUCUUUGUGGUUUUCUCCUAUAAAUACCUCAUUAUAACCCCUUGAGGGUUAGAGAUCUUAGAAAUUAAGAGAUCUCACUUUAGUUGAGAAGGUUUCAUUGAGGGGAUCCUUCUAGCAAUUCCUAGAGAGAAAGUCUAAUGUGCCACAACAUUCUCACUCUCUCACUCAAAAUUUUGAUCUUUGAUUAUUGGGUUGAAAAUCAUCUUCCCUUCAAGGUGGCUAAAGGAUCUACUAGGGAGCAACAGAAGGUUGUUGUGUUGUAAACGCAAAUUAAGUUAUAGGUAUUGGAGAGUAAGCCUUUAAGAUAAAGCAAUUAGGUAAAUCUAUGUAAUUUUGAUUUUGAAUAAUGGAUUUAAAUUAGUGGUCUUAGACCUUAUGGUUUUUUAUCUCCAUAGUUAGUAUAAAGGUUUUCCACGUAAAAAUCUUAUGUCCCAUCACAUAUCUUUAUUCAUGUUUAUAUUUUGAUUGAUUAUAUUGAUUUCCCUUAAUUGAUUUGUUGGGUUGUUAUUGAGUUUGUUAUCAUGGUUAUUUUGGUAGUUAUUAUUCUCUAACAUCUUUUAUCCCUAACUAAUUAGGAUAUUUCUAAAAGGUAAAAACUUAGUUUUUUAUAAAUCUAAAGAUUUUAGAUAUAACCCAUUAAAUUAUUUAAGAUACCUUUGAUAUCUAUUAGAUUAAAAGAAUUGGGUAUAAUAUAAAAAUAUUUAUUGAAAAUAUUUUAAUCACCUAUUCUCUCUCCCCUUCUAGUUGUUCUCUAUUGGACUUUCAGUGGUUUUUCAACUUUGACUACCAUGUUAGGACAUUGAGUCCUAUUUAUAUGUUGACAAUUCUAUUUAAAUUAAUAUUUGGUCAUAGAAGUCUUUUUAGAUAGUGACAUGCUCUUCAUUGAAGAUCAAUAAUUGUUGUUCAUCCAACCAAAAGUCACAAGCACAUUUAAAAAGGUUUGGCUUGUGGCAUAUAAAGCUUCUUUGAAGUAUAAAAAGGUUCAGUAUCAUUAGGAGCCCAAAUAAGAAGCUUAGGUAAUGGCAAUCUGUUCAGAUGAUAAGCUGGAAGGCUGAUGCAAUUUCACAUGGCACAACGCAAAGUGACACCUAAGGUGCACGCGUCUUAUCAAAACCAAGCAA
RNAcentral lists this long non-coding RNA (1406 nucleotides) under Vitis vinifera (wine grape). RNAcentral's name for it is "long non-coding RNA (VVIN_LNC001973)". Lineage: Eukaryota; Viridiplantae; Streptophyta; Magnoliopsida; Vitales; Vitaceae. The record is from RNAcentral.